Molecule: ribosomal RNA, 421 nt
Filed under: uncultured bacterium
Lineage: Bacteria
Description: partial 16S ribosomal RNA
Rfam family: Bacterial small subunit ribosomal RNA
Source: RNAcentral
AAUACUGGACAAUGGGGGCAACCCUGAUCUAGCCAUGCCGCGUGUGUGAAGAAGGUCUUCGGAUUGUAAAGCACUUUACGUUGGGAGGAAGGGCAGUAAGUUAAUACCUGGCUGUUUUGACGCUACCAACAGAAUAAGCCCCGGCUAACCCUGUCCCCGCAGCCGCGGUAAUACAGAGGGUGCAAGCGUUAAUCGGAAUUAAUGGGCGUAAAGCGCGGGUAGGUGGUUCAGUAAGAUGGGUGUGAAAUCCCCGGGCUUAACCUGGGAACUGCUUUCAUAACUGCUGAGCUAGAGUACGGUAGAGGGUAGUGGAAUUGCCUGUGUAGCGGUGAAAUGCGUAGAUAUAGGAAGGAACACCAGUGGCGAAGGCGACUACCUGGACUGAUACUGACACUGAGGUGCGAAAGCGUGGGGAGCAAAC